This 58-nucleotide transfer RNA is filed under the name Dipodomys ordii (Ord's kangaroo rat). It matches the Rfam family "tRNA", at positions 8 to 63 of the family's 71-position model. From Rfam's summary of the family: Transfer RNA (tRNA) molecules are approximately 80 nucleotides in length. Their secondary structure includes four short double-helical elements and three loops (D, anti-codon, and T loops). Further hydrogen bonds mediate the characteristic L-shaped molecular structure. tRNAs have two regions of fundamental functional importance: the anti-codon, which is responsible for specific mRNA codon recognition, and the 3' end, to which the tRNAs corresponding amino acid is attached (by aminoacyl-tRNA synthetases). tRNAs cope with the degeneracy of the genetic code in two manners: having more than one tRNA (with a specific anti-codon) for a particular amino acid; and 'wobble' base-pairing, i.e. permitting non-standard base-pairing at the 3rd anti-codon position. Lineage: Eukaryota; Metazoa; Chordata; Mammalia; Rodentia; Heteromyidae. The record is from Rfam by way of RNAcentral.
UGACUCAGUGGUAACAGUGCCUGCCUAGCAAGCAGGAGGCCCUGGGUUCAAAUCCCAG